AAAACAGUUUUGAUGCAAUUUUUGAACCAUUCAGUCUGUUUUGUUCGUGCAGUUCAUGGUACCACAUCUGCAUGCUACAUCUUGUGUAGAUUUGGCUACCACAUUAUAUGAUGUUUCACUUUGCUCCGUCAAAGUUUCAGUAAAAAAUUGAAUUGAACAUCUUUUUGUAGACAUACAAAAAUGGUCCUCCAUUUUUUACAUCGCCCUGACAUCCAAUUCAAACUAUAUUUUCUGCCUAAACUGUUGCAUACCUAUGAGAUCAUGGGAUAACUCAGACACGAGCCGGUGUCCAGUGCGCAGUUGGGUGCAUUAUUUGGUGACAUCUAGUGCUAACUGUUUAAUGCUGAGUAAUCAAAUAUAUUCCAUGAAGUGCUUCUUGGUAUUUUACAACCGUUUACUCUGAAUUCUGGUCUUCAUGCCUUCAGACAAUUUUCAGGUUGCUUUUCCACGAUUUCAAAUAACUUAUACCGCGCUCGGGGCGUAUCUAGAUCUAGCACAGAAGAGAUGUGUUUCUUGAAGACCCGAAAAAUGAUAAUACUAACAGGAUUGUUUUUAAUAUUGCCAGUACUGCUCCAUAAAAUAAACAUAGCGUGUUCACUCCUGCAAAAAAAAAUCGUAACAGUUAAUUCUGUUGUAGUUGUAGAUGUACAUCCUUUAUUCCCGCAACAGUUAAUUCUAAGGCCAUUCAUAUCAUUGCAGAUUUUGCCUAUUCUCUGAGAUGGAUGAUGAUGAGCGGUGCAACCGAAAAUUCAGAGCUGGGCUUUACACACUUCAGUGGGAGUAGCAUGACAACACCAAGGUAGAGACUUGAAGAGAAGCAAGGGGAUGGACCAAGGAAACUAGAACUGUGUUGUCGUGAUGUGGGUCGUGUCGUCUUCGUCCAUCUCCAUGGAGGCAUAUAUACAUAGGUUAGGUAUAGGAAAGGAGACCGUCUCCAUGGAACUCUGACUGAUGUGUAAUGUCCUCAUAGGACUGGACCGUUUACAGAGGGAGUACUUGAAAAUAGAUUCUUUAUAUAUUGUUUGGUUCCAUCAGCCGCAUAACCUAAAUUAGCAAUUUGGUA
Long non-coding RNA from Triticum dicoccoides, 1063 nucleotides. RefSeq lists it as uncharacterized. The transcript has 2 exons. The record is from RefSeq and is a predicted model, not a curated record. NCBI's taxonomy places the organism in Eukaryota, Viridiplantae, Streptophyta, Magnoliopsida, Poales, Poaceae.